Molecule: non-coding RNA, 72 nt
Organism: Bos taurus (domestic cattle)
Lineage: Eukaryota; Metazoa; Chordata; Mammalia; Artiodactyla; Bovidae
Source: Rfam
UCCCUCAUAGCUAAGUCGGUAAAGAAUCUGCCUGCAAUGCAGGAGACUCAGGUUUGAUCCCUGGGUCGGGAA